AGCCAUACCAUGUUGAAAAUACUGGUUCUCAUUCGAUCACCAAAGUUAAGCAUCAUCGGGCGCGGUCAGUACUUGGGAGGUUGACAACCUGGGAACACCUCGCGCGGU
Non-coding RNA from Caerostris extrusa, 108 nucleotides. The record is from the annotation of a GenBank genome assembly. Lineage: Eukaryota; Metazoa; Arthropoda; Arachnida; Araneae; Araneidae.